Molecule: ribosomal RNA, 719 nt
Filed under: uncultured bacterium
Lineage: Bacteria
Description: bacterial SSU rRNA
Rfam family: Bacterial small subunit ribosomal RNA
Source: RNAcentral
GGUGGCGGCGUGGAUAAGACAUGCAAGUCGAACGGGACUUUCAGUGUAGCAAUACAUUGAAAGUUCAGUGGCGUAAGGGUGCGUAACACGUGGGAAAUCUGCCGAGAAGUGGGGGAUAGCUCGCCGAAAGGCGAAUUAAUACCGCAUGUGGUCAGCGAGGACAUCCUCGCGAAACCAAAGCCGGGGCAACCUGGCGCUUCUUGAUGAUCCCGCGGCCUAUCAGCUAGUUGGCGGGGUAAAAGCCCACCAAGGCUAUGACGGGUAGCUGGUCUGAGAGGACGACCAGCCACACUGGAACUGAGACACGGUCCAGACACCUACGGGUGGCAGCAGUCGAGAAUUUUUCUCAAUGGGGGAAACCCUGAAGGAGCGACGCCGCGUGAAGGAUGAAGGUCUUCGGAUUGUAAACUUCUGUCAUUAGGGAACAAAUCUUCCGGUUAACUGCCGGAAGUCUGAUAGUACCUGAAGAGGAAGAGACGGCUAACUCUGUGCCAGCAGCCGCGGUAAUACAGAGGUCUCAACCGUUGUUCGGAUUCAUUGGGCGUAAAGGGUGCGUAGGCGGCGGAGUAAGUCAGGUGUGAAAUCUCGGGGCUCAACCCCGAAACUGCACUUGAUACUGCUUCGCUAGAGUAUUGGAGAGGAGAUUGGAAUUUACGGUGUAGCAGUGAAAUGCGUAGAUAUCGUAAGGAAGACCAGUGGCGAAGGCGAAUCUCUGGACA